CCCGCCACUGGGAUGAGUGAAAUCCAGCAACUGGUGGGUUGAACAGCUGGGAGGAGCUCAUUCUUUAUUUUGACACACUAUACUUUUUAUACACGGAGCAUACAGUUGAAAAUGAGACUGGACCGGAGAGAAAAGCAGAAGGCGGGGGACCCUAAAAGCAGAAAGAAAGAAUUCAAAGGAGGAGAAAGAUUCAAAAAGGAAGAUGAGAGAAACGAAGAGAAGAGGAAAUAGGAACCAGAGGCCAGUACAGGCUGGGACCACUAUGGAGACAGCAUGAGGAGGCCUUGCUGGGAGGGCACGACUAACGUCUCUGACAUGACCUCUAUAGCCAAGCAAGGAGCAGCACUGAUGGUCUCCAAAGAGCCCAUCCCAUGCCAAGGAAAGUCACCACCAGGGAAGAAUCAGAGGCAAGCAAUUCACCAUGAUUUACAGAUGACUUGUGCUGGAUGAAGCAUACAGAGAAAUGGUGAGAGUGCUGGUGGCUCUGAGGUGGAUCUGAUUAGCUGCAGCAUGUAACCUCAGCUGUCUUUGAUAUCUCUAACCAUGAAGUUUUGUUGGGACUUCUUCAGUAACUAACAAGAAUGGACAGGAUUGCUCUUGAAUGGUUUCAUUGGGAGCCAUCUUGGGAGAUCCAAAAGGGUGGUUUGGGACAAUUCUUCUGUCCCAAAAGCUCUCUCCUAUAUGACUUGGUAUAAUCACCUUUCCUAUUCAGCAUUGAUAACAGGCUGUUAGGAGAAUUAGUGAGGAAACAUGGGCUGCAAUAUGUUCAGUAUGCUGAGGAUACUCCACCACAUUGGAUCUGACUGGUGCAGAGGAACCAAUAACCCAGAUUCAGAGUGUGGAUGGUGCUGAGUUGGCUCAGGCUUAAUUCAGAUAAGACUGAAGUAGUAUUAGGGGAAACAAUCAGAAGUGGCAAUGGAAAUAACCACACCUUUAUUUGGGGCAGUGCACCUGCCAUUCACAGAUCAGGUUCCAAUUCCUGGAGUAUAGGAUCAGAUGUUAUUAGAUGAUCAAACAGUUGUACCCAAAAAGGUUCUUUUUCCCCCCUCUUUGAACAUCUGGCCAGAAGAAUGUAGCCUUUUUCCUUUGGUGUAGACCUGGCUACCAUCAUCCACACCUUUGUCACUUCAAAACUGGACUGCUGUAAUGCACAGCACAUGGAGAUUGCAUAUUGGGAUCACUUGGAGGUGCAAGCUAGUGCAGAAAGUGUAUCAUACAAGAAGCCUGUAACAUGGAUGCAUUUGGGUGCUGCACUGUCUCAUGAUAGGUUUCUGGAUGGAGUUCUAGGAUCUGGUCUUAUCCCUGAAUGGUUUGGAAACCAUUACCUGAGGGACUGCCUCUCUCGCUGGGCCGUACUGAUAUAGCUAAGAUCACUGGAGGCCCUACAAGCUAGAGCAGGUGUUCUUUGUGAGGAGACUUGACUCUGGAAUUCUGUUCCUUCCUUGAUUUGUUAACUUUCCGAGCACAUGGAAAGGCUUAUUUUUCCUAGCAGGCAUUUUAGGGCGAUUGCAUGUCCGUCGGUGAGGGGACUGGAGGCUGUACGAUGAUUUAGGUGGGGCCUCAUGAUACGUUUGGUACAGUAGCUCAAGUUAUUGUGGGAGUCUUCAUUAGCAACUUUGUAACUGGAAAAAAUUGAUGAGUUGGAUAACUGUAGAUUUUUAAUUGUGUGUUUUAAGUAUUGGGAGGGGCUUAGAGUUCUGCAUAGAAAAUAGGACAAAAUAUCCUUAAUUAAAUAAUAAAUGCUACCAAUAAACUUUAGUAUAUUUUGCCCAGUGGUGCUGCUUCCCCCUACUUGGUCAAGGGUAUGAGACAGUAUUUUUGCCUAAAUGGGAAAAUAAGUAGUUAGAUCAAAUCACUCUCAUUUCUUCCCCAAGCUGUUAUAUGCACCCCUGGUGCUGGGGUUAUAUCACAAGAUAAAUGGGGAGGAGACCCUUGUUAAAACACUGACAGCACAUUGCAGGGUAGGGGAGAGCUUCAGCUGGGCUGGGAAGGAAGAGGAGAAAGGGAGCAAGGAGAAAAGGAAGUACUGAGAAUAGGAGUCACCAGCUACAGAGAUCUGGAGUGGGGAUUUAAUCCAGAUUAGAGUAUGAUGUGUAAUCCAGAGGAAACAAGCAGAGCUAGGAUCAGGUUAGGAUCCUGGUCAACCAUUAGAAUUCUAUUCCUUUUCUUUAAAGGAAUUCACCACAGGCUACAAUUCUUCAGAAUUUGCAUAAAAUUGUUGGUAGUUUUCCAAGUCUUGUAAAUUCCAUGAUAGGCCUGUGUAUAGGAACAGCACCCGACUAGGAAGGACUGCUGCAUCCAGGUCUACCACCAGAUAACUGGGGCAAAAGAUAAAUCAGCAGAAUGGUCAAGAAGAGGGCGGGUCAUAAUGAAUGCAGGGUUGGGGCCUAAACGUCUACAGACGUAUUUUUUGAAAUCAUAUUUCCAUUAUUUCUCUUCACACAAAACAACAUUAGAUACAUUGUCAUUGUAUGCAGUUGUAUUUAACACGAAUGGCUGUCAGAUACUUCCGAUGUACUUAAAGAAAAGAGGACUGGGUAUUUAGAAAUUGGUCAUUUAGCAUACCGAGAGGAGGGCUCGCGAGCUAGCAUGCCAAAAUCUUUAGCCAGGUUCUUUGACUAGUAACCUGAUCAAUCCUGAAUAAGCAAAAAGUUAUGUACUAUGUGGUGUGUUAACAUGUGAGUGUAACUUUGCCAUAGAAAACGCGAGAGGUGGGCAUACUUAAAGAUUUUGCAAACUUCCCAGCCUACUUUCUAGGUUUGCAAACCCAUUUCAAGCUUGAAGGCAAAUUUUCCUCCAAACCCAUGACUGUUGUCUGUGGGCCCAAAUCCAUCCUCUGUCAAAGCUCCCACUGAAAUCAAUACAGGUUUUUCUUGAUUAAAGAUUUACUUGUUGCAAUGGAAGGUAUUUAAUAAAGUAACCCAAAAUCUCUUAUAGUUUGUGUCUUCACCUAAAAGUUGUUUUCUUAUCCAUCAACCAACAAAACACUAAGAGAGAAGACAAAGAAAGAUAAAGAAAAGAUCAACAACAACAGAAAGCCAAACAAAUUUUGGCUUACCCAGCCCUUCCCUUAUGCCCACCAAGCACACCACACCUUCAGGUCAUCGACAGCUGUAUGGUAUAUUAGGCUUUAAAAAAAAAAAAAAAAGAUCCAUACACCUCCCAUAUAUAGUGGGAAACUCUGGCAUGUUGUCCUGUAAUUAACACAUCCAUGUCAAAAUUCUGAUCACACUGCUGUGGAACCUCGCUACAGUCAAAGGGGUUACACAGGUGAAAGUAAGGAAAGCCUGUGACUGUAGGUAUUUAAGUCUAAUUAGCCCACAGCAUCCAGUGUUGUUAGCAGAUUUC
Chelonia mydas (Green sea turtle) is the source of this 3348-nucleotide long non-coding RNA. RefSeq lists it as uncharacterized. Lineage: Eukaryota; Metazoa; Chordata; Testudines; Cheloniidae. The transcript is spliced from 3 exons. The record is from RefSeq and is a predicted model, not a curated record.